This 443-nucleotide ribosomal RNA is filed under the name uncultured bacterium. RNAcentral's name for it is "partial 16S ribosomal RNA". It matches the Rfam family "Bacterial small subunit ribosomal RNA", at positions 338 to 795 of the family's 1533-position model. The record is from RNAcentral.
CCUACGGGUGGCAGCAGUGGGGAAUAUUGGGCAAUGGGCGCAAGCCUGACCCAGCAACGCCGCGUGAAGGAAGAAGGCUUUCGGGUUGUAAACUUCUUUUCUGAGGGACGAAGAAAGUGACGGUACGUCAGGAAUAAGCCACGGCUAACUACGUGCGAGCAGCCGCGGUAAGACGUAGGUGGGAAGCGUUAUCCGGUUUUAUUGGGUGUAAAGGGCGUGUAGGCGGGAAAGGAAAUUAGAUGUGAAAAAUCAGAGGUAAACCCGUCGACUGCAUAUGAAACUGUUUGACUUGAGUGCUGGAGAGGCAAGCGGAAAUCCGGGUGUAGCGGUGAAAUGCGUAAAUAUACGGAGGAACACCGGUGGCGAAGGCGGAUUGCUGGACAGUAACUGACGCUGAGGCGCGAAAGCGUGGGGAGCAAACAGGAUUAGAUACCCCGGUAGUC